GGUCACCUACGGGGCGCAGCAGUGGGGAAUAUUGCACAAUGGGGGAAACCCUGAUGCAGCGACGCCGCGUGAGCGAUGAAGUAUUUCGGUAUGUAAAGCUCUAUCAGCAGGGAAGAAAAUGACGGUACCUGACUAAGAAGCCCCGGCUAACUACGUGCCAGCAGCCGCGGUAAUACGUAGGUGGCAAGCGUUGUCCGGAUUUACUGGGUGUAAAGGGCGUGUAGCCGGGCCGGCAAGUCAGAUGUGAAAUCCCAAGGCUCAACCUUGGAACUGCAUUUGAAACUGUUGGUCUUGAGUAUCGGAGG
RNAcentral lists this ribosomal RNA (305 nucleotides) under uncultured bacterium. RNAcentral describes it as "bacterial SSU rRNA". It matches the Rfam family "Bacterial small subunit ribosomal RNA", at positions 333 to 655 of the family's 1533-position model. The record is from RNAcentral.